RNAcentral lists this microRNA precursor (105 nucleotides) under Glycine max (soybean). Its description in RNAcentral is "MIR1520 microRNA precursor family". It matches the Rfam family "MIR1520 microRNA precursor family". The record is from Rfam by way of RNAcentral. Lineage: Eukaryota; Viridiplantae; Streptophyta; Magnoliopsida; Fabales; Fabaceae.
UUCUUAUUAGAUGAUAAUUAUCACAUGUCAUGUUCUGAAUUGGAUUUCGAAUCCAUGAAAGAUGAAAUCUUAUAAUCAGAAUAUGAUAAGUAACCGUUAAUAAUU